UACGGAGGGGGCUAGCGUUAUUCGGAAUUACUUGGCGUAAAGCGCACGUCGGCGGAUCUGCAAUUCAGAUGUGAAAUCCCAGGGCUCAACCUUGGAACUGCCUUUGAAACUGCGGGUCUUGAGUUCGAGAGAGGUGAGUGGAAUUCCGAGUGUAGAGGUGAAAUUCGUAGAUAUUCGGAGGAACACCAGUGGCGAAGGCGGCUCACUGGCUCGAUACUGACGCUGAGGUGCGAAAGCGUGGGGAGCAAACAGG
RNAcentral lists this ribosomal RNA (253 nucleotides) under uncultured bacterium. RNAcentral's name for it is "partial 16S ribosomal RNA". It matches the Rfam family "Bacterial small subunit ribosomal RNA", at positions 524 to 776 of the family's 1533-position model. The record is from RNAcentral.